GUCAGUUCUGCUGUCUCCUCCAGCAUGUUCACACAGCUGCUCUCUCUCUGGGUGACUGGGGCUUUACUGCUGCCCCUGAACUGGGGUACCACAUUAGGCAAUGAAGAUUAUGAAGAUGUGACACCAACACCAGAUUACGACUACAACGCUACAUUCGAUUACUAUUUGUACAAUGGCUCCGCAAUGCAAAGUAUUAUCUAUGAUGAGCCCAAAGUUCUCCCCAAUCAAGGGAAUACGGAUUCAGUGUCAGUGUACAGACACUACGGAAUAUUAGCAGGACUGCUCGUGCUACACAUCUGCCUGCAAACAUGAAAAUGACAGUCAACAACGGACCAAACAAAAAUACUGAGCUGCUGAUGUCAUCGAAGAGGACCGGAACAUCCUCUUUGUUUGCAAACAGUGACAUCAAUACUGACAUUUUCACUGAAUUAAAGUCUGGAGCUUUGACAUUUCUGCUAAAUGUAUGUGUGUUGUUCAAGGCACUUUUUAUAUGUGAUUUGAAAUUGUAUGCUGUUUUUUAUGCUGUUUUAAAUGCUUUAUUGGGUCUGUUAAUUAUCCAACAAUCAUUAUCUGAGAAGCUUUCAUGAAACUGUAACCGUGUUUUAAACACUUUAAAAAAAAAAAAAGGAUGAAAAAAAUAAAAUAAUAAAAUUUAGCAUAUGGUAGUAGUUUUUACU
This 677-nucleotide long non-coding RNA is filed under the name Sinocyclocheilus anshuiensis. RNAcentral's name for it is "lncRNA (ENSSANG00000032941.1)". The record is from RNAcentral. Lineage: Eukaryota; Metazoa; Chordata; Actinopteri; Cypriniformes; Cyprinidae.